UUUCCCCAGCCACUCUGGGUGGCUUCCAACAAAAUAUUAAUAUAAGGGAGGUUCUUUUUAAUGUUUGAAGCUUUAUUGUGUUUUUAAUAUUUUGUUGAGAGCCACCCAGUGUGGCUGGGGCAA
Non-coding RNA from Podarcis lilfordi (Lilford's wall lizard), 123 nucleotides. The record is from the annotation of a GenBank genome assembly. NCBI's taxonomy places the organism in Eukaryota, Metazoa, Chordata, Lepidosauria, Squamata, Lacertidae.